RNAcentral lists this ribosomal RNA (476 nucleotides) under uncultured bacterium. RNAcentral describes it as "bacterial SSU rRNA". It matches the Rfam family "Bacterial small subunit ribosomal RNA", at positions 25 to 518 of the family's 1533-position model. The record is from RNAcentral.
CAGGACGAACGCUGGCGGCGUGCCUAACACAUGCAAGUCGAGCGAGGAGAUCCUUCGGGAUGAUCCUAGCGGCGGACGGGUGAGUAACACGUGGGCAACCUGCCUCAUAGAGAGGAAUAGCCUUCCGAAAGGGAGAUUAAUACCUCAUAACAUUGCAGUUUCGCAUGGAACAGCAAUUAAAGGAGCAAUCCGCUAUGAGAUGGGCCCGCGGCGCAUUAGCUAGUUGGUGAGGUAACGGCUCACCAAGGCGACGAUGCGUAGCCGACCUGAGAGGGUGAUCGGCCACAUUGGGACUGAGACACGGCCCAGACUCCUACGGGAGGCAGCAGUGGGGAAUAUUGCACAAUGGGGGAAACCCUGAUGCAAGCAACGCCGCGUGAGUGAUGACGGCCUUCGGGUUGUAAAGCUCUGUCUUCAGGGACGAUAAUGACGGUACCUGAGGAGGAAGCCACGGCUAACUACGUGCCAGCAGCCGC